UGAUUGUCAAGCAUUCGUUUAAUUUACAAAUAAUUAUGUGAACCUGAUAUUCUUACAAAAUCAAACAGCUAUGAUACGCAUCUAGACGAAAAUGGAAGAAGUAAAAUUUCAAAUAAAAAAAUAUCAAAAUAAAUAGUCAUGAACAAAUAAAAUGGUAGCAUUAUAAUUGUAAAAAGUUAAAAUGGGCUGUAAACCAUGUUGCAAGAACAGCAUAAAACCAUCGCCAGUUAAAUACUCUCCAGAGUCUUCACCGCAAUCCUCGCCAAAGGUAUCAUUACCCACAAAACACUGACCAGAGUUAUCCUUGCUUGCAAAAUACUUGCACUAGUUAUCGUCGCCCUCAAAACUUUCAUUCAAUUCCUCGUCUGAAUCAACGUAGGUCUCAAAAUUCUGCCUUCUCUUAUCAUCGUCCGCAGGACAGUCACCUAAUUCAUAAUAACAACUUACUGUCCGAAAAAUCUGUCCGUUUGGGCCUCUAUCAUCGUUGACUACAAAGUCACUUCUUUUACUAGUUACAAAAGUACAAAGUCGUCACCUUUAUCCCAUUUUAUCGCAAAUUCUCACCCAUGUCUCCUUUGCUUACUGAAUUCUCGCCCUUAUAUUCGCUACGCACGAUAUACUCAAACGUACUAGAAAUAUUUUUUGAAAAUCCAUGCGUAGCAAUCAUUUCCGGAAUACUUAUAUUGAUAAUCAUAUGGUUAUACUGGUCUUGGUACCAAUGCGAAGUUUGCCGACGACGGUGUUAAUUUGUCAAACAAGAAGAGAUAUAAUUCCAAGAUUCAACUUAUGAGUACGGGUUGAAAGAGAAAAUAACUAAGAUUUUUUAACAAUGAGCUGUUGCGAUGGUUGCACGAAUGAUGAUAUCCUUUUGGAGAACUCACUCAUUGGGAACAAAUCAACAACUCUGUAUUUCGUAUUGGGACUUGUUGUAAUGGCUUUAUAUUUAGCUUACCGCCUCUUUAAGUGCCGCCAUCCAAGAACUCGAAUACUUUGUAUGUUCUAAGUAAAACAAGUGAGAUAUGUAACAAAAAAUAUUUAAUACUUAAACAAACGUGUUACAAUAUUUUUAUAAAACAUUCCUAUUUUUAUUUUAACUUAACCUAUUUGAAAUAAAUUUGCCUAUUUAUUUA
Long non-coding RNA from Maniola jurtina (meadow brown), 1130 nucleotides. RefSeq lists it as uncharacterized. Lineage: Eukaryota; Metazoa; Arthropoda; Insecta; Lepidoptera; Nymphalidae. The record is from RefSeq and is a predicted model, not a curated record. The transcript has 2 exons.